RNAcentral lists this ribosomal RNA (709 nucleotides) under Streptomyces sp. M48(2015). RNAcentral describes it as "bacterial SSU rRNA". It matches the Rfam family "Bacterial small subunit ribosomal RNA", at positions 181 to 906 of the family's 1533-position model. Lineage: Bacteria; Bacillati; Actinomycetota; Actinomycetes; Kitasatosporales; Streptomycetaceae. The record is from RNAcentral.
CUGGCAUCUUGCCGGGUCGAAAGCUCCGGCGUGCAGGAUGAGCCCGCGGCCUAUCAGCUUGUUGGUGAGGUAAUGGCUCACCAAGGCGACGACGGGUAGCCGGCCUGAGAGGGCGACCGGCCACACUGGGACUGAGACACGGCCCAGACUCCUACGGGAGGCAGCAGUGGGGAAUAUUGCACAAUGGGCGCAAGCCUGAUGCAGCGACGCCGCGUGAGGGAUGACGGCCUUCGGGUUGUAAACCUCUUUCAGCAGGGAAGAAGCGAAAGUGACGGUACCUGCAGAAGAAGCGCCGGCUAACUACGUGCCAGCAGCCGCGGUAAUACGUAGGGCGCAAGCGUUGUCCGGAAUUAUUGGGCGUAAAGAGCUCGUAGGCGGUUUGUCGCGUCGGUUGUGAAAGCCCGGGGCUUANCCCCGGGUCUGCAGUCGAUACGGGCNGNCUAGAGUUCGGUAGGGGNGAUCGNNAUUCCNGGUGUAGCGGUGAAAUGCGCAGAUAUCAGGAGGAACACCGGUGGCGAAGGGGGAUCUCUGGGCCGAUACUGACGCUGAGGAGCGAAAGCGGGGGGAGCGAACAGGAUUAGAUCCCCUGGUAGCCCACGCCGAAAACGGGGGGCACUAGGGUGUGGGCAAAUUUCCACGUUGCCCGGGCCGCAGCUAACGNAUUAAGUGCCCCGCCUGGGGGGGUACNNCCGCNAGUNAAAANUCAAAG